RNAcentral lists this ribosomal RNA (411 nucleotides) under uncultured bacterium. RNAcentral describes it as "bacterial SSU rRNA". It matches the Rfam family "Bacterial small subunit ribosomal RNA", at positions 505 to 916 of the family's 1533-position model. The record is from RNAcentral.
GUGCCAGAAGCCUCGGUAAUACGAAGGGGGCUAGCGUUGUUCGGAAUUACUGGGCGUAAAGCGCNCGUAGGCGGAUUUUUAAGUCUGGGGUGAAAUCCCGGGGCUCAACCCCGGAACUGCCUUGGAUACUGGAAGUCUGGAGGACGGAAGAGGUCAGUGGAAUGCCGAGUGUAGAGGUGAAAUUCGUAGAUAUUCGGCGGAACACCAGUGGCGAAGGCGACUGACUGGUCCGUUUCUGACGCUGAGGUGCGAAAGUGUGGGGGAGCAAACAGGAUUAGAUACCCUGGUAGUCCACACCGUAAACGAUGAGAGCUAGUUGUCGGCAAAUUUNUUUGUCGGUGACGCAGCUAACGCAUUAAGCUCUCCGCCUGGGGAGUACGGCCGCNAGNNUAAAACUCNAUGAAUUGGCGG